UUAGAGUUUGAUCCUGGCUCAGAACGAACGCUGGCGGCGCGCCUAACACAUGCAAGUCGAACGGGGUCUUCGCCUUCGGGCGGAGGUUCAGUGGCGGACGGGUGAGUAACGCGUGGGAACCUGCCCUGGAGUACGGGACAACACGGGGAAACUCGUGCUAAUACCGUAUACGCCCCUUGGGGGAAAGAUUCAUCGCUCUGGGAUGGGCCCGCGUCCGAUUAGCUUGUUGGUGGGGUAACGGCCCACCAAGGCUUCGAUCGGUAGCUGGUCUGAGAGGACGAUCAGCCACACUGGGACUGAGACACGGCCCAGACUCCUACGGGAGGCAGCAGUGGGGAAUCUUGGGCAAUGGGGGCAACCCUGAUCCAGCGACGCCGCGUGGGUGGUAAGGCCUUCGGGUUGUAAAGCCCUUUCAGCGGGGAAGAUGAUGACAUUACCCGCAGAAGAAGCGCCGGCUAACUCCGUGCCAGCAGCCGCGGUAAGACGGAGGGCGCUAGCGUUGUUCGGAAUCACUGGGCGUAAAGGGCGCGUAGGCGGCUGUCUAAGUCGGAGGUGAAAGCCCGGGGCUCAACCUCGGAACGGCCUUCGAGACUGGACGGCUAGAGACCGGAGAGGAGGUGGAAUACCCAGUGUAGAGGGUGAAAUUCGUAGAUAUUGGGUGGAA
RNAcentral lists this ribosomal RNA (664 nucleotides) under uncultured organism. RNAcentral's name for it is "bacterial SSU rRNA". It matches the Rfam family "Bacterial small subunit ribosomal RNA", at positions 1 to 706 of the family's 1533-position model. The record is from RNAcentral.